CUCACCUGACUGAGUUACCCCUAGCGCACUAGGAAUAAACUUCCCUUUGCCUGAUUUGCAUUGUCUUCAUGUGUUCCUUUGGGUGAUCAAUUCUCGGACCCUAACAUAUGGGGGCUCGUCCGGGAAUGAUACCCUGAGGACCUCCGGGACACGGGAAGUUCUCUCCCAACUUUCGUGGUGACUUUCCUGAGAGGAGCGAGAACGGGGAUGAUGGUCGACCCACCACAGACCCAACCCAUCUUGCUGUUGUUUUUCCUGCCACUCGUCCAGACUGGGACUUCCCCUCGGAGGAAGCUACUUUAACCGAGGAUGCCUGCAAACUGUCAACAGGAGCAAUUUCGAUUUUGAAAUUCUAGCAGCUUUUUGGAAGAAUUGGUUCAAAAAUGUCGGACUUGUCAGCUGACCCGUACUGCAAAGACUGAUAACCAUAUUGGCACCAGGCUUCAUGGUACUCGCCCUUGCGAAUACUGGGAGAUGGAUUUCACAGAGAUCAAGCCAGGAAACUGCAACUGGAUCGUUGGCCCCUCUUAUGUGAAUGGUUCCAACCUCCUCCUCAUACCCCACAUCCCUUUAAACCUGGGGAUUGGAUCUGGGUCAAGAGACACCAGAAGCGGGCGCUUCAACCCUACUGGAAAGGGCCAUUUGUUGUUCUUUUUGUAACUCCUUUGGCUUUAAAAGUUGACGGGAUUGACCCUUGGAUCAAUUAUUCCCACAUCCGGCCAGCGGAGCCUCCUGAUCCUAGCAGCGACACCUGGACUAUUUGCAACAAAUCUGAUAAUCCCUUGAAGAUUUGCCUGAACCGAAAUGCUUUGGCUGCACCCUAGAUUUUUGCUUUUCUUACAGUUAUUGCAGAUCUUGAUCAUGGGGUAUCAGUUCCAAGGUGUAUUUUCUACUAAUCCUAACAUACCUUGGAAAUGGACCUUGUCUCGAUUUAGUUCUCCAUUUGAUCUUUACACUAAUGUUACGGCAACAGCCCCCUCUUUGAUUGUUUAUGCUUGUGAAUUGAUAGAUGGCCCUAAACCCUAUCAGCCCAUUGGCUCUCUUUGUAUGAAUGUUGGGAUUUUUUAUUUUUGCCUGGCUCUUAACCCUCUUGCAAUGCUCCAAAUUCUUAUUUUUGUGGCCAUUGGGGUUGUGAGACAAUUGUCACUGGAGGAAGUGGGAUUACAGGGUGCUCUCGAUGGACCCCGACAAAUAGAGAUUCAUGGUUGACUGUGAGUUGGGGACCCCCAGGACGCAGACAUCAGUGUUCUUUAGAUGACCACGAGGGGGCCCCUUGUUCUUACAUGAUCCUGAAACUGCUACAACAUACUCAUGACUCCUGGGUGCUAGGAAGAACAUGGGGGAAUACAGCAAUAUCGAGCAGGAAAAGACUCGGGACGGUUGUUUUUCAUUAAAAAGGAAUUGGCUAUUUCCCCACUCCAACCAAUGGGCCCCAAUGUAGUUCUAAACCCCAAAUUUUCACAAAUCCUUCCAGAUUCUAUUGGUUUGACCUCCCCGGCUCCUUUUAAGGAUCCCCUUGGUAGCCCCUUAUGGCCAUUGUUACAAGCCUCCUUUACUGCUCUCAAUAGUACUCAACCCAAUAUGACCGAAACUUGCUGGCUCUGUUUAAGUGCUCAUCCCCCUUAUUAUGAUGCUGUAGCUUUAAACUUAUGAUAUUUCUAAUUCAGACCAACCUACUUCAUGUGAUUGGGGGGAUCGAAAAGUUGGCCUAACCUUGCAAUCACUUGCUGGCCAGGGUACUUGCAUUGGGAACAUUACCAUUAUUAAUAAACUUCCCCAAUGAUCCCCGUUAAAUCUACCAGGAAAAACUGGAAAAUACUAUAUUCCCCCUUCAGGGGCUCGGUGGUCUUGUUAUAUAACUGGUCUUACUCCUUGUGUUGCACAAUCCACGUUGAUGACCCACCUACAAGAGUUUUGCUUGCUUGUUACAAUUUUCCCUCGGGUAACCUAUUAUUCUGAAAAACAAUUUUUAGCCCUACAAUAUUCAGGGUCAGGAUUUACUUGGAACCGACAAGAACUGGGGAUAGCCUUAACCCUUGCAGCCAUUCUUGGCUUGAUGGGAGUGGGUACAGGCAUUGCCUCACUGGUCCUUCGCCAAAACGAGAUGACAGCAUUACAUCAGGCCAUUAAUACGGAUCUUAGAAGGGUCAAGAAAUCAUUAGAAGCUCUGGAAAAGUCCCUUACUUCUCUUUCCGAAGUGGUUUUGCAAAAAUAGGAGAGGCCUUGAUCUCCUGUUUCUUAAAAAUGGGGGACUUUGUGCUGCGCUCAGAGAAGAAUGUGGCUUCUAUACAGACCAUACGGGCAUAGUUAGAGAAUCAGUAGCGGCACUUAAAGAAAAGCUUGGACUCCAGAGGAAGAGUGCAGGCAACAGGCCAGUCAUGGUAUCAGCAGUGAUUUCAAUCCUCCCCAUGGCUCACUACACUUAUUUCCACCCUCCUGGGACCCUUGGUUAUUUUUAUUCUUCUGUUAACUUUUGGGCCUUACAUUCUUAAUCGUCUAGUCCAAUUUGUUAAGGAUCGUAUCAAUGCUGUCCAGCUUUUAGUGCUUAGGCAACAGUACUUACCUUUGGGAAAAAUUCCUGAGCCAUGUACCAAUAGCAUGGCCAUGAGUAAGAUUCCUCAUUACGGACAAUCCGAAGUGGGGAAUGUUGUGUAGUAAAAAUUAACUGACCCUCGUUCUGCUCCUUACCUAGGACAGCAAAGUAUUCAUUAACAGAAUGUUCUGGGCAAGAUCCUAGACAUUACGGGACUUCCACAAUGUCCCAGACAUGACCGGACCUUUGAAGUACACCAAUAGUCAUGUAACCACUUGUCUUUCAUGUCUCUACCUGUCUGCCGGUUAUGUUAAUUUGAUUAACUUGAUUAACUUUAUUAACCAAAUGCUCUCAUGUAACUCAACUAUGAUCAUACCCUAUAUAAACACUGCUUAGACUCUGCUUCGGGGGAACUCACCUGGCUGAGUUACCCCUAGCGCACUAGGAAUAAACUUCCCUUUGCCUGA
Monodelphis domestica (gray short-tailed opossum) is the source of this 3000-nucleotide long non-coding RNA. RefSeq lists it as uncharacterized. Lineage: Eukaryota; Metazoa; Chordata; Mammalia; Didelphimorphia; Didelphidae. The record is from RefSeq and is a predicted model, not a curated record.